GUAGGUGGCAAGCGUUGUCCGGAAUUAUUGGGCGUAAAGCGCGCGCAGGGCGGUCCUUUAAGUCUGAUGUGAAAGCCCACGGCUCAACCGUGGAGGGUCAUUGGAAACUGGGGGACUUGAGUACAGAAGAGGAAAGCGGAAUUCCAAGUGUAGCGGUGAAAUGCGUAGAGAUUAGGAGGAACACCAGUGGCGAAGGCGGCUUUCUGGUCUGUAACUGACGCUGAGGCGCGAAAGCGUGGGGAGCAAACAGGAUUAGAUACCCUGGUAGUCCACGCCGUAAACGAUGAGUGCUAAGUGUUAGGGGGUUUCCGCCCCUUAGUGCUGCAGCUAACGCAUUAAGCACUCCGCCUGGGGAGUACGGCCGCAAGGCUG
This 372-nucleotide ribosomal RNA is filed under the name uncultured organism. Its description in RNAcentral is "partial 16S ribosomal RNA". It matches the Rfam family "Bacterial small subunit ribosomal RNA", at positions 527 to 896 of the family's 1533-position model. The record is from RNAcentral.